This 4389-nucleotide unclassified non-coding RNA is filed under the name Daphnia pulex (common water flea). RNAcentral describes it as "gamma-tubulin complex component 6-like, transcript variant X1". The record is from RNAcentral. Lineage: Eukaryota; Metazoa; Arthropoda; Branchiopoda; Diplostraca; Daphniidae.
AGCAGACAAAAAAAAACAAUCACCCCAAAAUGGCGGUAAAUGUCAGUUAAAAAAUGGUGUAAAAUAUUUUGAAAAUGGAUAUAGAAAAUAGUUUGUAUGGUAGUUUGUGUAAGUUUUUCACUUUGGUGUCAAAACCAAAGACCAGUGGGCAAACACAAACCUAUUCCCGCUGCAUCGUCCCUGAAAUUGAGCAUGAAGCGAAAGAAAAAAAACGUGUGAAGCGUGAUGGAUUCAGUACGUUGUUCACAGCUCACGCCAGUGAAGAAGAAACACUACCAGAUGAAUUUCAAUUGUCAGCAUGGAUUUUUAAAUUGAGAACAUUAAUUCCUUGUUCAGAAGGAAACGCUGUUGAAAAUACCAUAUCUGAUCUCGAGAAAGUUGCAGCUGGAAAAUUGCACAGUAUUUUACCAGUGCUGAAAUUCCUGUCGUACAUCAAGCCUGUCAAUAAUGAAGACGUACCUACCUUGAGAAGCAUUGAAAGUUUCCAGAGGCAAAAUGCCGAAAUCCAACCUGAUGAUAUGAAGAAGCAGUGUGUACCCUAUCCAGUAAUUCAACAAAAUUUGUUUGAUGUUCCACCCUUAAAUUUUCACAUUGGAGAGCUUUAUACCACAACUGUCAUAGAGAAACUUGAAUCCACUCGUCAGUUGGAUGAGCUUGAUGUUGUUCACAGGAACCUGUUUGGUGCCUUGGAAAAUCCGCCAAAAAAUCUGAAUUACCUUGGAAUUUCCAAAUGCAGCAAACUGACUCUCUGGAUGAAUACCAACAAAUCUGAUUAUAAACCAGUCGUCCCUGAUGAAGGAUAUGAAUCACCAACUUCUAAUGCCAUACCGUUUCCGCCCAAUGGAGUUUCCAAUUAUUGGGAAAAUUUAGAAGAUCUUUGUGACUCGUCUAGCAUUCCUCGAACCUGGGAAGCAAAAUUAUCCAAUCAAGCAUACCCAGUCAAAGAAUUACCUUACUUAACUCACGCUCCAUUGCAAGUCAUGCAAGUACUCUGCCAUCACUUUGACAAAAAUUUGAGUUUGGUCGACGAAACGUUACCAGCACGAGACUCUUUCCUGAUGGAUGAAUCAGAAUUCCGAAAAAACUUACUUUACUUGAUGUUGGGAAUCGAGUCGAGAGUAUUUUCCUGCGUUGACGACGAAUUUCAAUUCAACGGCUAUCCUUUUAUCGACGGCAUUAGCUCCGAUUGUUUAUUUGAUCUCGCACGACCUCUGCUACAAUGCGGCCGACUGGUUCGACGUCUGAAAAGUGUAGUUUGGAACCCCGAAUUCGGCCCUGUACGCAAUACACUCGGCGACCAACUGCUCACCAGCUUACAAUACUACCAGGAAAUGGUGGAGGAGGUGAUCAAGUCCCCGUCGCUAAUAGCUGUCGUUCAACAGCUGAAAACACUUUCGUCUUCCCUUCAAUUAAUGGAUCGACUUUGGCAUUGGCCUGGCUGGGAAGAUGGCAACGGACGUGGAGUCGCCUUCCUACAACACCUGGUUGAUCUCUCUACCGUGACAGUUAAUGAACAAGAACGAAACCUCUUGACGGCCUAUUUUGCUGCUUGUGUUGGACCACUGCUUUCGUACGUGGAGCAUUGGAUAUACCGCGGGCGCUGCAGCGAUCCGCAUAAUGAAUUUUUCAUCCGUCCUGACAACGUUCAACUGGAAAAACGCGAUAGAAACUAUUGGAUCAAUGGCUUUGCUUUUCAGCCCAUUAAUCGUCCCGUGGGGGCGGGACCCUUCAUCAAUUCGACUGCAGAGGAUGACGCAAUCACUGGUCUCCUGAACGACGUUUAUCUUUGUGGCAAAACGGUCCAUCUUUUACAGCUGUGCCAAGCAAAAGAACUCGAACACAGGGAGCCGUCGUUGCGAAUCGGGCUCAGCCUAUCCGAAUUGAACGAUAUUCGAGUCGAAUGUGCAGCGUACGCACUAAAAUUUCCGGCUGUCGUUGACUUCGUACGUCCCAUAAAAGAUUUGGGCCAACAGGCUCGCAAGAUUCGCGAUGCCAAAUUGGCUGAACUUGUAGCCGAAAAGGCAGCCAAACAGUUGGACCGUGCCGUGAAGCGCAAUGCCCGUCUUGCCUUAGCCAAGGCCGAGUUGGACGAGCAGCUGGAUCUCAAACGGGCAGAGGAAACCAAAAAAGCGAAUCAAGAAAGGCUCCUCGAUGAAGAUAUUCAACGAUACCAAGAUUCCAUCGACCAACGCGAAGCUGAUGAAAAACGAAGAUUACUCAUCAAAUACGCCAACUUGCUCGAUGACAAGGAUUCAACCGAUGGACCUUUUGAAGAUGAGUUGAAUGCCAAUGAUCCAAUAAGAGGAAUGGAUGAAGAAAACAAUAUCGUUUCUCAAAUUCAACCUGACAUUGUGACUGUUGAAAAAUCGGCCAUCACUUCAGCUCCAAUCCCUGCAACAUCUUCAACUACGGUUGCAUCAUCGAAAAAGUUAAAGCCGACUCAGUCGAAAAAGAAAAUUCUAACACGAGAAGAGAUCAAAACCAAAGUCUUGUGGGAAGAAUUUGGAGUGGAUCCACGUUACACUAAAGAGAACAAUGGAGAAUCCACUCCCGAAGAGUCGUGUCGUGUCGUCAUCAGCCCGUAUGUCCCGAAAGACUGGAGUAAUCCUGCUUCAGUUUCUUACCCUUUCCAAUUUAAUUUCGAUGCCGAACCCGAGCCAACCAUGUUGAUCGGUCAGGAGAAGCGUGACUGGCUACAAGAUGCCGAACCUUGUGAGGAGGAAAUCCGUGACUUGUCACUUUCUUUCUUUGUCCAGCGGAGUUUACUCUUGCCCAUCAGAACCCAGUGUCAAAUGGUCAACCGCUCUCUCAUGACUCUGCUGACAGGUCCCGACCAUCGCUUUAUGCAACAUCUUGAAGCAUUGCGCCAAUAUUUGUUCCUGGACAACGGCGCCUUUAGCCACAGUCUCGUGAGCAACAUUGGACGCAGAUUGGGGCAAAUUACUCGAAUCCAACAGUUGAUUAACGUUCCGUCAAUGAACUUUAUCCUGCAAAGUGCACUCAAUUCCGUCCAAGCCAACGAGUACUACGCGUCCCGCUUGAGCUUCUACACCAAGGAAGCAACGGGGUCCGUUUCCAAUUCGCAACUGGAGGCUUUGGAAUGUUUUACUCUGCGAUAUAGAGUCCGCUGGCCGCUCAAUCUCAUUCUGACCGAAGAAGUUAUGGACGAUUACAGUCAAAUAUUCUCUUUCGUCCUGCAAUUGCGAUUGGCCGCUUGGGCGCUUGAAGACGUCCAUGUCAAUUUAAUGAGAGACCUCCCGAGUCGUUGGCACGCCGUUCACAUCGCGCGUCAUUCGAUUUAUCAUUUCGUGCAGACGUUACAAAACUACGUCAUGAGCCAGCUGUUGACUCUGGCCUGGAGCGAAUUUCUGGCCGAAUUGAAGAAAUACGGUGCUCGUUCACUCGAUGAUUUAUACGAAUUACAUUCCAAUUACAUCCAUCGAGCCAAAUCCCGUUUACUACUCACGCCGAAAAGCGCUUCCCUUUUGAAAAUCAUUCGUGAUGCGCUCAACUUGGCACUCAAAUUCCGCGGUCUACUCCUGGCCGCCAAUUAUACCUAUUCGGAUGCCCUUCAAUCGCAAAUCAACUCGGUCAGCGCCAAAGCCAAAGAAUACGCCAAAUUUAUCAGGCUAAUUCUCGAAAAGGUGAAUGAUCGAAGCCAUCAGUCUCAUUUCAACGAACUUUUGGUGAAACUCAACUUCAAUGAAUAUUACAGUAACUAGAUGGCCGCCCCAAUGGCUUUCCCCCAUUGAUUGUUCAGAUUGUACAUGCCGGAUGAUGAAGAAGGUCAAAAGUCCGUCAGAUAUUGCCGCGAUCAGCCUCAUUACACCGACUGCCGAUUGAUUACGAGUGAACUCAACACAGGAAAAACCACGUUGACUCGUCUGUCAAGGUCUGUUGUUACAAGAGAAAGAAAGAGAAAGAAAAAGAGGAAAGACCCAACGGAAAUAACGUGGACCUUCGGGUGGGUUAUUAUGAAAUGUGCCAGAAUUCCUUGGUGAGUAGCACGCAGGCCAUAUAUGGUGUCGCCUAUAUGCGAUGCGGGAUAUUUCUUCAGCCUCUACCGAGAAAAAAGGGAUCCUGAACGACCUACUAUUUCAGUACUUCCUCCGUAGACAAACAACAGAGUAUUACGUGUGAUGCGGGCAGCUAGCGCAAUCGAAACCUGUGAAGAAGAAAGACGAUUAUUGGAGCCCCCAUUGAAAUUGGAAACAAUUGAUGACGAGCACUUUGCUGCUCAUAACAACAACAAUCUGUUUUCUUUUGCUUUUUAGCAAUUGAUGUAAUUUCCACCUUUGCUCGGUGUGUGUGAAAGGUAUGUGACUGAAUACGUGAUGAUCCUUGAACUGUCGGAAUAAAACGACGAUCGAUUUUAAAUCGAACAAAAAA